RNAcentral lists this ribosomal RNA (468 nucleotides) under uncultured bacterium. RNAcentral's name for it is "partial 16S ribosomal RNA". It matches the Rfam family "Bacterial small subunit ribosomal RNA", at positions 28 to 507 of the family's 1533-position model. The record is from RNAcentral.
GACGAACGCUGGCGGCGUGCUUAACACAUGCAAGUCGAACAGAAAGGCCCUGCUUUUGUGGGGUGCUCGAGUGGCGAACGGGUGAGUAACACGUGAGUAACCUGCCCUUGACUUUGGGAUAACUUCAGGAAACUGGGGCUAAUACCGGAUAGGAGCUCCUGCUGCAUGGUGGGGGUUGGAAAGUUUCGGCGGUUGGGGAUGGACUCGCGGCUUAUCAGCUUGUUGGUGGGGUAGUGGCUUACCAAGGCUUUGACGGGUAGCCGGCCUGAGAGGGUGACCGGCCACAUUGGGACUGAGAUACGGCCCAGACUCCUACGGGAGGCAGCAGUGGGGAAUAUUGCACAAUGGGCGGAAGCCUGAUGCAGCAACGCCGCGUGCGGGAUGAUGGCCUUCGGGUUGUAAACCGCUUUCGCCUGUGACGAAGCGUGAGUGACGGUAAUGGGUAAAGAAGCACCGGCUAACUACGUG